This 292-nucleotide ribosomal RNA is filed under the name uncultured Acinetobacter sp. RNAcentral describes it as "partial 16S ribosomal RNA". It matches the Rfam family "Bacterial small subunit ribosomal RNA", at positions 1078 to 1370 of the family's 1533-position model. The record is from RNAcentral. Lineage: Bacteria; Pseudomonadati; Pseudomonadota; Gammaproteobacteria; Moraxellales; Moraxellaceae.
GGUUAAGUCCCGCAACGAGCGCAACCCUUUUCCUUAUUUGCCAGCGGGUUAAGCCGGGAACUUUAAGGAUACUGCCAGUGACAAACUGGAGGAAGGCGGGGACGACGUCAAGUCAUCAUGGCCCUUACGACCAGGGCUACACACGUGCUACAAUGGUCGGUACAAAGGGUUGCUACCUCGCGAGAGGAUGCUAAUCUCAAAAAGCCGAUCGUAGUCCGGAUGGAGUCUGCAACUCGACUCCAUGAAGUCGGAAUCGCUAGUAAUCGCGGAUCAGAAUGCCGCGGUGAAUACG